ACGAGUUCUAAAGUCGGUCGACCGUGCUGGCGGAGACGCAAGUGCACGUCGGUCGCGAACCAUCCACACACCGUGAACGUAUGGCCCGACCGUCCAUUGUGGACUCGGGCACAAUUUUUACACUCUUGCUGUAAAGGAAUGUUUUUAUAAUCAUAAACAUA
Molecule: unclassified non-coding RNA, 161 nt
Filed under: uncultured Sebacinaceae
Lineage: Eukaryota; Fungi; Basidiomycota; Agaricomycetes; Sebacinales; Sebacinaceae
Description: sequence contains ITS1
Source: RNAcentral